RNAcentral lists this ribosomal RNA (492 nucleotides) under uncultured bacterium. RNAcentral describes it as "partial 16S ribosomal RNA". It matches the Rfam family "Bacterial small subunit ribosomal RNA", at positions 29 to 507 of the family's 1533-position model. The record is from RNAcentral.
AGUGAACGCUGGCGGUAGGCCUAACACAUGCAAGUCGAACGGCAGCACAGUAAGAGCUUGCUCUUACGGGUGGCGAGUGGCGGACGGGUGAGGAAUACAUCGGAAUCUACUUUUUCUUGGGGGAUAACGUAGGGAAACUUACGCUAAUACCGCAUACGACCUACGGGUGAAAGCAGGGGAUCUUCGGACCUUGCGCGAUUGAAUGAGCCGAUGUCGGAUUAGCUAGUUGGCGGGGUAAAGGCCCACCAAGGCGACGAUGCGUAGCUGAUCUGAGAGGAUGAUCAGCCACACUGGAACUGAGACACGGUCCAGACUCCUACGGGAGGCAGCAGUGGGGAAUAUUGGACAAUGGGCGCAAGCCUGAUCCAGCCAUACCGCGUGGGUGAAGAAGGCCUUCGGGUUGUAAAGCCCUUUUGUUGGGAAAGAAAAGCAGCAGGUUAAUACCCCGCUGUUCUGACGGUACCCAAAGAAUAAGCACCGGCUAACUUCGUG